Molecule: ribosomal RNA, 443 nt
Filed under: uncultured bacterium
Lineage: Bacteria
Description: partial 16S ribosomal RNA
Rfam family: Bacterial small subunit ribosomal RNA
Source: RNAcentral
CCUACGGGGUGCAGCAGUGGGGAAUAUUGCACAAUGGGCGAAAGCCUGAUGCAGCAACGCCGCGUGAAGGAAGAAGGGUUUCGGCUCGUAAACUUCUAUCAACAGGGACGAAAGAAAUGACGGUACCUGAAUAAGAAGCCCCGGCUAACUACGUGCCAGCCGCCGCGGUAAUACGUAGGGGGCAAGCGUUAUCCGGAAUUACUGGGUGUAAAGGGUGAGUAGGCGGCAUGGUAAGCCAGAUGUGAAAGCCUUGGGCUUAACCCGAGGAUUGCAUUUGAAACUAUCAAGCUAGAGUACAGGAGAGGAUAGCGGAAUUCCUGGUGUAGCAGUGAAAUGCGUAGAUAUUAGGAAGAACACCAGUGGCGAAGGCGACUUUCUGGAAUGAAACGGACGCUGAGGCGCGAAAGCGUGGGUAGCGAACAGGAUUAGAUACCCGGGUAGUC